CCUACGGGUGGCAGCAGUCGGGAAUAUUGCGCAAUGGAGGAAACUCUGACGCAGUGACGCCGCGUAUAGGAAGAAGGUUUUCGGAUUGUAAACUAUUGUCGUUAGGGAAGAUAAAAGACUGUACCUAAGGAGGAAGCCCCGGCUAACUAUGUGCCAGCAGCCGCGGUAAUACAUAGGGGGCAAGCGUUAUCCGGAAUUAUUGGGUGUAAAGGGUGCGUAGACGGAAGAACAAGUUGGUUGUGAAAUCCCUCGGCUCAACUGAGGAACUGCCUUUGAAACUGGCAAACUGGAGUGUGUGAGAGGAUAGUGGAAUUCCAGGUGUAGGAGUGAAAUCCGUAGAUAUCUGGAGGAACAUCAGUGGCGAAGGCGACUAUCUGGCACAUAACUGACGCUGAGGAGCGAAAGCGUGGGUAGCAAACAGGAUUAGAUACCCGAGUAGUC
This 441-nucleotide ribosomal RNA is filed under the name uncultured bacterium. RNAcentral's name for it is "partial 16S ribosomal RNA". It matches the Rfam family "Bacterial small subunit ribosomal RNA", at positions 338 to 795 of the family's 1533-position model. The record is from RNAcentral.